AGGACGAACGCUGGCGGCGUGCUUAACACAUGCAAGUCGAGCGGAAAGGCCCUUCGGGGUACUCGAGCGGCGAACGGGUGAGUAACACGUGAGCAACCUGCCCUUAGCUCCGGGAUAGCUCCGGGAAACCGGAAUUAAUACCGGAUAUGACCUAGGCCGACAUCGGCUGUGGUGGAAAGUUUUUCGGCUGGGGAUGGACUCGCGGCCUAUCAGCUUGUUGGUGGGGUAAUGGCCUACCAAGGCGACGACGGGUAGCCGGCCUGAGAGGGCGACCGGCCACACUGGGACUGAGACACGGCCCAGACUCCUACGGGAGGCAGCAGUGGGAAUCUUGCGCAAUGGGCGAAAGCCUGACGCAGCGACGCCGCGUGGGGGAUGAAGGCCUUCGGGUUGUAACCCCUUUCAGCAGGGACGAAGCGAAAGUGACGGUACCUGCAGAAGAAGCGCCGGCUACUACGUGCCAGCAGCCGC
This 471-nucleotide ribosomal RNA is filed under the name uncultured bacterium. RNAcentral's name for it is "SSU rRNA". It matches the Rfam family "Bacterial small subunit ribosomal RNA", at positions 26 to 518 of the family's 1533-position model. The record is from RNAcentral.